Molecule: ribosomal RNA, 387 nt
Filed under: Alcanivorax sp.
Lineage: Bacteria; Pseudomonadati; Pseudomonadota; Gammaproteobacteria; Oceanospirillales; Alcanivoracaceae
Description: partial 16S ribosomal RNA
Rfam family: Bacterial small subunit ribosomal RNA
Source: RNAcentral
GGCUGGGCACUCUAAGGAAACUGCCCGUGAUAAGCGGGAGGAAGGUGUGGAUGACGUCAAGUCCUCAUGGCCCUUACGGGUUGGGCUACACACGUGCUACAAUGGCAGUGACAAUGGGUUAAUCCCCAAAAGCUGUCUCAGUUCGGAUUGGGGUCUGCAACUCGACCCCAUGAAGUCGGAAUCGCUAGUAAUCGUGGAACAGCAUGCCACGGUGAAUACGUUCCCGGGCCUUGUACACACCGCCCGUCACACCAUGGGAGUUGGUUCUACCCGACGGCCGUGCGCUAACCUUUUGGGGGCAGCGGACCACGGUAGGAUCAGCGACUGGGGUGAAGUCGUAACAAGGUAGCCGUAGGGGAACCUGCGGCUGGAUCACCUCCUUUCUAA